ACGCUCGACACCUACGGAAGGCAGCAGUGGGGAAUAUUGCACAAUGGGGGAAACCCUGAUGCAGCGACGCCGCGUGAAGGAAGAAGUAUCUCGGUAUGUAAACUUCUAUCAGCAGGGAAGAAAGUGACGGUACCUGACUAAGAAGCCCCGGCUAACUACGUGUCAGCAGCCGCGGUAAUCUGAGCGGGCUGGCAAGGC
This 198-nucleotide ribosomal RNA is filed under the name uncultured bacterium. Its description in RNAcentral is "partial 16S ribosomal RNA". It matches the Rfam family "Bacterial small subunit ribosomal RNA", at positions 326 to 539 of the family's 1533-position model. The record is from RNAcentral.